CUCUACUAGUGACCUGUAGGAACCUGGGCCUGCAGGCUUGCAGUUCACAUCAUUUUAAUCCUGGAUGAAACAUCCGAAUUUGAUCAAUACAGUGGCCUCAGGGUUAUGUUCUGCUACUUACCUGUCUUAUGUCAAAUGAUGACACAAGAACAUGAUAGAGACUGGUAAUGAGCAGCAUGCUUGGAGUGUGGUAUUUGAUAAUAGCAAAGCCCAUGAUUUGUGCUCAGAGCAAUCAAGGGGAUGACAUCACACAAUAUUCAGGACUUUUCAUCUCCAGCAGCGAGGGAUUUGCUGGUCGAUACACUCUGUUACAAAAGGUGACUUAUUGAUGCUGCCAGAUGAAAUGCUUGGCUGAUCUUCAGGAUAUCUUUCAGACAAUAUACAUUUACUCACCAAAGAUACUCUCCUAAACCUGACAAGCUCUCACAAUUCAGUUCUUAUAUUCUUAACAUUCAAUGAGGAUGAAACACAGCUGCCCCACAAGUCAUCAAUGCUCAUCUUGAGAAAUGCUCAUUAGAAGUUUCUGCAUCUUGGAAUAUUUACUAAUAAGGUACUAAAGAAAAUUAAAUCAGUAUCAAUCUGCUUCUCUAUGAAUGAAAGAAUUUCUGAAUCCUAUGGUACAAUCUGAGAAGUUUCACAUCUGGUCCUUGAACUGAAUAACCCAGAGCUCUGUUGGAGACACCUGAUGAUGGUAGUAAGUUACCAAUAUGAAGGCAAUGGAUUUAGAAAUCUCUUCUGUAAAUGAGAGUAUGUACAUAUAAGAACUUCAGUUAUCAUAAUUACUAUAUUUUACUAUAGGGGAAAGAACGUCUUUGAAUUUGAUGGAAGCUAAAUUAUUUUAAAUGUGGGGGGCAAAACAUUUUAAAAUACAAACAUACCAGAAAUGUUGAAAACUAAAGAUAAUGGGGGCACAGAUAUAAAAUAAUAAUUACUUACAGAAAGGAAAAUUUUGCCCUCAAAAGUAGAAGAAAAAUUAAGCGAAUUUAUUCCAAAGUUACAUUAAUCUAUUAUUUACUACAGAAGGGAUGAAACCCAUAUUCUAUCACUGUAUGUAGCUGCUAUUGACAAAACAAUUCAUGUUUUCUGUACGACUUAGCUAGCCAGCCAUCACACUCUACACCAGUACCACUUGUGCUUCAUCUUCAGAUAAAGCUCAAUGUUAUCGUAAUAUGGAGGACCACAGAAAGCUGGGAAAAACCCUAUGACUAAAGCAAUAAGUGCCAACGUUCUACUUAUGGAUUAAAAAACCAAAACAAUACAGCAACUGACGAAACAGUAAAAGCUAUGAAGUAAAUAGGAUUAGUAAUCGCUACUUCAGAUGAGUUACUUGAAAGUGGGAGAAAGUACAAGGUGACCUCUUAAUUGCUUACAGUGUGAUGAGCGUAGAUAAAAACAUCUGCUACAUUCCCAGAUAAUUUG
Coturnix japonica (Japanese quail) is the source of this 1419-nucleotide non-coding RNA. The record is from RefSeq and is a predicted model, not a curated record. NCBI's taxonomy places the organism in Eukaryota, Metazoa, Chordata, Aves, Galliformes, Phasianidae.